Acanthochromis polyacanthus (spiny chromis) is the source of this 2019-nucleotide long non-coding RNA. RefSeq lists it as uncharacterized. NCBI's taxonomy places the organism in Eukaryota, Metazoa, Chordata, Actinopteri, Pomacentridae. The record is from RefSeq and is a predicted model, not a curated record. The transcript has 6 exons.
CUACUCAGGAACUUAGAAGAUUUCAGUCCUUGGACUGUGUGAAAGUUAAAUCUAACAGAGAUCUACUGUGGGACUUAGAAAAUUUCAGCCCUCAGACUGUGUGAAAGCUCAGGUCCUGAGGACUCAGGAGGUGUGGAGGCUUUGGAAAGUCUUGGAACUGAGGGUUCAAUCCUCCAGCACAAAGGCUGAAGUCCAACCUCCUGAGAAAAACGGUCAAGAAAAAAACUAAAAAAAAAAUCGAAAACGACAAAAAAUAGAUAAUAAAUGCGCAAAAAAAAGAAGAAUUAGUAUCUGAGUGAGUAGCUCUACCUACCUUACCUCGGGGCCGUCCGGCUGCUUUACGGUUGUCAAAUCACAGCGCUGCCUCUCCAGAUUUCUCCAGAAUUCUCCGCCAACCGCAUCGUCCCCUGCCCAGAAUUCCCCAGAAUCACCCGACCAAUCGGUGUCCGAUGUGUCCAGAAUUCGCCCGCCGACAAAUUAACGUCCAGCGUGUCCAGAAUAACCCCCCGACCAAUCAAUGUCCAGCAUGUCCAGAAUUCACCCGGCGACCAAUGAGAGGGCCAGUCAGAGGUCAACCUCGGCGACCAGUGACAGCUCGAGCCGACCAACCCUUGACCCCGGUCGACGCCUGUCCCACCCCCCUCCCCUCCGAUCCCCUCAUUCAAACUUGUUUGUGGAAAAAUACAGACACCUGCUCGGAAACUUUUGCAUUUCAAGGUAAGACGACAUUAUAUUUAUUUAGUUUUUAUUAUCCUACGCAAAUGACAGCGUAACAAUUACAAGAAAGAAACGAUCGUAGGAUCCUUUGGUUAUUACACCGGCUGGCUACCCGUUUUUCACUCUCGUUUUACCGUUGAGGUGGUAUAGCAGUUAAUUUUUUUUUCAUUACUAUCGUUUUCUAGCAGCAUACUGCUGUAUUCCCAGACACAUUAGUCAGUACGUGUUUUAUAAACUGUGACCGCCGUUAUAAGUAAUGUUAUGUGUGAAUAUCGUCGUUACUGUUGUCAGUCAUUCAUCUUUCCUUGCGUUACUGAACCAUUCAGUGAGUAACCGCGGUAGUGACGUGAUUCUAACACAAUUAAGCUUUCAGCUGCAUAUGUACGUACAUUUUCUUAGCCCAACAGAACUACUUCUCAUGAGCUAACCAUAACUGUGAUUACUUAUAACGGCCCUUUUCUACUAUAACGUUAUGUUGUCCCAUUAGCUUAGAAUAUGAAUCACAUUUUCUCUUUUUCAGCUCAUGCACCUAUGAAUAAUAAUGAAAGUACAAUAAUACAUAUUAAUGCUGGUGACUAUCCUACUUCUAAACUCUGGCUGCUACAUUUGGUGUAACUUGUACAUUUCUUCUCUGUUAAUGGUAGAUGGCUUCCAAACAAAAGAAGCACAGAGCCAUGUCAGAUCAGGAGUGGAUGUCCCGUCUGAGAAGGUUUGGCCUUCUGAGGCAGGAAACAGACCAGCACCACGCCAGAAAAAGUGGCAUGAACUCUACCUGAAGAUUGAGAAAUGUCCGAUGCAGCUGAGGGGACAGGCGUCUCUGUUUGGAGGGACACAGACGUGCAGCUGUGGUUUCCAUGCAAAGAAGCCUUCCAGCUCUGUCCCUGGGCCUCCACAGCCAGGUCCCUCAGCAGCGUCGUCUACAGAGACAGAGCAACCACAAACAUCUGGACGAGCAGCAACAUCUGGGCAGACACCUCGGAAGCCUUCUUUGACUUUGGCAUCGUUCAUGAAGCCAAGGUUUGGAGGGUCUCAUGGUGCUGCCUUAACGCCCAACUUAAGUUUGGCUGGGAAGCAUGUUAGCACGGUCUCCAGCUCUUCUCCCUCUUUAACUAUGCCUAGCGCUGGUACGAGCGCCAUGGCAAGCCGACCACAGUCACCUGCCCGCAGUCCAAGGACGUUCAUCCAGGCCGUCUCUCCUCUCUCUCUUCCUCCCCCACCUCCGCUGCCUCUGUUCCACCAGCUACUGCUAGAGCUGAAACAUCAGCAUCCUCCUCAGCACCUCUCAUCCCUCUGUCCUCUGUG